Molecule: transfer RNA, 56 nt
Filed under: Bos taurus (domestic cattle)
Lineage: Eukaryota; Metazoa; Chordata; Mammalia; Artiodactyla; Bovidae
Also listed under: 3 other names
Rfam family: tRNA
About the family: Transfer RNA (tRNA) molecules are approximately 80 nucleotides in length. Their secondary structure includes four short double-helical elements and three loops (D, anti-codon, and T loops). Further hydrogen bonds mediate the characteristic L-shaped molecular structure. tRNAs have two regions of fundamental functional importance: the anti-codon, which is responsible for specific mRNA codon recognition, and the 3' end, to which the tRNAs corresponding amino acid is attached (by aminoacyl-tRNA synthetases). tRNAs cope with the degeneracy of the genetic code in two manners: having more than one tRNA (with a specific anti-codon) for a particular amino acid; and 'wobble' base-pairing, i.e. permitting non-standard base-pairing at the 3rd anti-codon position.
Source: Rfam by way of RNAcentral
UGGCUUAGUCGGUAAAGAAUCCGCCUGCAAUGUGGGAGAUCAGGGUUCAAUCCCUG